Molecule: RNA transcript, 675 nt
Organism: Gossypium raimondii (Peruvian cotton)
Lineage: Eukaryota; Viridiplantae; Streptophyta; Magnoliopsida; Malvales; Malvaceae
Gene name: persulfide dioxygenase ETHE1 homolog, mitochondrial
Exons: 5
Source: RefSeq, a predicted model, not a curated record
CUCUACAAGUCAGUGCAUUCACAGAUUUUUACAUUACCGAAAGAGACAUUGCUAUAUCCAGCUCAUGACUACAAAGGAUUCUCAGUAACCACUGUGGGAGAGGAGAUGCUAUAUAAUCCACGCUUGACAAAGGAUAAGGAGACUUUCAAAAACAUCAUGGAAAAUCUUAACUUGGCAUAACCUAAGAUGAUUGAUGUUGCAGCGCCAGCAAAUAUGGUUUGUGGGUUGCAAGAUUUGGAACCUAAAGCCAACUGAGGCUUUGCUGGAUCAUCCAUAAGUGUGCAUAGAUUUUAGUUGUAUUAUAAUUCUGGAUCUUAAUAUCACUGGAUAUGCUAAAUAAAAUGGCUAGAGAAGCCACGUGAUUGCAAGGAAUCCAUAAAUUAUAUAUAUACUAUAUCAUAUUGUAAUCAUGUAAUAUUGUCGUCUUUCUAUCUGCAUAGAAAUAAUCUUUACGUUGUAAUCAUGCUAAAUAACAUCGGAAACUGAUUUGUCUUUGAUUCUUUACAUUGCAGAAAUAAUCUUUAUAGUGGGGUGGGGUUUAGAGGGUUGGAAAAAGAAGAAAGAUUUGAGUUUGAGGUGGAGGUGGAGGUGGAGGUGUUAGAGCAGAACUUAGAUCUUUACCACAAAUUUUGACAAAUGGAAAAUACAUUAUUAUUUUGAAUACAUAUUAGUAAU